CAAAAACAAUGGAAACCAGAAAGCUGGAAGAGACGAACAAAAGAAGGAAAAUGGUUCCUUGACUGUUAUUUUCAAAGUUGAUUGUCUUUGUGAUGACUGUGCUUCCAGAAUCCUUAAAUGUGUUCGUGAAUUACAAGGAGUGGAGACAGUGAAAACGGAUAGAAACGCAAACAGAGUGACAGUGAUAGGAUCUGUGGACCCAACAGCCAUUAAAGACAACAUUGCGAAGAAGUCCAAGAAGAAGGUUGAUGUCGUUCCUCAACUUAAGAAAGAUGAUAAGAAGAGAAAAAACCUGACGAAAACAAAAACCAGGGCUACGAUAAUAAACAAGAGAGAAGACCCAAAGAGGCCCUGUUAACGACGGCGGAUUUGAAGGUGCAAUUGAAAUGCCAGUGCCAAGGAUGCAUUCUAAAGGUUCGCAGAAUUGUCUCUGAAACCAAAGGUGACGCCUUUUAUCAAUUGUUUUGGGCUGUAGAUAUCAUAGGUUUUUAUUCACCC
Long non-coding RNA from Hibiscus syriacus, 498 nucleotides. RefSeq lists it as uncharacterized. The record is from RefSeq and is a predicted model, not a curated record. NCBI's taxonomy places the organism in Eukaryota, Viridiplantae, Streptophyta, Magnoliopsida, Malvales, Malvaceae. The transcript has 3 exons.